Molecule: transfer RNA, 88 nt
Filed under: Bacteriophage sp.
Also listed under: 1 other name
Description: tRNA-Ser
Rfam family: tRNA
About the family: Transfer RNA (tRNA) molecules are approximately 80 nucleotides in length. Their secondary structure includes four short double-helical elements and three loops (D, anti-codon, and T loops).
Source: RNAcentral
GGUGGGGUACUCAAGUGCGUUAAGAGGAUGGUCUUGAAAACCAUUAGGGCGGUCAAACGCCGCGUGGGUUGGAAUCCCACCCCCACCG